UUCCUCACACCUAAAAAACUAGUCCUUCAAUACAUACCUCACACCUUAAAAAAUAUUAGUCCUUUAAUACACACCAUCCUCACACCUCAAAAACUAGUCUUUCAAUACACACCUUUCUCACACUUCAAAAACUAGUCUUUCAAAACACACCUUCCUCACACCUAAAAAAACUAGUCCUUCAAUACACAUCUUCCUCACACCUAAAAAACUAGUCCUUCAAUACACACCUCACACCUAAAAAACUAGUCCUUCAAUACACACCUCACGACAAAAUAGUAGUCCUUUAAUACACACCAUCCUCACACCUCAAAAACUAGUCCUUCAAUACACACCUUCCUCACACCUCAAAAACUAGUCCUUCAAAACACACCUCACACCUAAAAAAGUAGUCCUUCAAUACACACCUCACACCUAAAAAAACUAGUCCUUCAAUACACACCUU
Molecule: long non-coding RNA, 442 nt
Organism: Haliotis rubra (blacklip abalone)
Lineage: Eukaryota; Metazoa; Mollusca; Gastropoda; Lepetellida; Haliotidae
Exons: 2
Source: RefSeq, a predicted model, not a curated record